RNAcentral lists this ribosomal RNA (497 nucleotides) under uncultured bacterium. RNAcentral describes it as "partial 16S ribosomal RNA". It matches the Rfam family "Bacterial small subunit ribosomal RNA", at positions 28 to 507 of the family's 1533-position model. The record is from RNAcentral.
GAUGAACGCUGGCGGCGUGCCUAAUACAUGCAAGUCGAGCGAACGGACGAGAAGCUUGCUUUUCUGAUGUUAGCGGCGGACGGGUGAGUAACACGUGGAUAACCUACCUAUAAGACUGGGAUAACUUCGGGAAACCGGAGCUAAUACCGGAUGAUAUUUUGAACCGCAUGGUUCAAAAGUGAAAGACGGUCUUGCUGCCACUUAUAGAUGGAUCCGCGCUGCAUUAGCUAGUUGGUAAGGUAACGGCUUACCAAGGCAACGAUGCAUAGCCGACCUGAGAGGGUGAUCGGCCACACUGGAACUGAGACACGGUCCAGACUCCUACGGGAGGCAGCAGUAGGGAAUCUUCCGCAAUGGGCGAAAGCCUGACGGAGCAACGCCGCGUGAGUGAUGAAGGUCUUCGGAUCGUAAAACUCUGUUAUUAGGGAAGAACAUAUGUGUAAGUAACUGUGCACAUCUUGACGGUACCUAAUCAGAAAGCCACGGCUAACUACGUG